UCGCUCUCUCUCUCUCUCUUUCUCUCUCU
RNAcentral lists this small RNA (29 nucleotides) under Arabidopsis thaliana (thale cress). Its description in RNAcentral is "ATSL080300". Lineage: Eukaryota; Viridiplantae; Streptophyta; Magnoliopsida; Brassicales; Brassicaceae. The record is from RNAcentral.